RNAcentral lists this long non-coding RNA (214 nucleotides) under Mytilus galloprovincialis (Mediterranean mussel). The record is from RNAcentral. Lineage: Eukaryota; Metazoa; Mollusca; Bivalvia; Mytilida; Mytilidae.
UUUGUUUGCUUUAUUGUUAUAAUAGUCUUUAUUUUUGUUUUUAUACAUCACAUGUCUUGUAUUACUUUAAACUCCAUUAAGGUAGAUAAGGUGUCUUCCUCCAUCUUGGAUUUUGAAAUACUAGAAAACAAGGUCUAGAUCUUUGAUGAAAUGUGGAAAUUUUUAUAGUAGUAGGUAAUUUAUUUGUAAGAAUUUUCAUUAUAAUAUAGAAAAU